CCUAAAGAAAGAUUAGAGAAGCCCUAGAUGUGUUUCACAUCACUCCGGGUGCUUUCUCAACUGCUUUCUCAACUGUUGAGAAAGCACCCGGAGUGGUGCGAAAUGCGUCCAGGGCUUAUCUAAUCUUUCUUUAG
Molecule: non-coding RNA, 134 nt
Organism: Pelobates cultripes (western spadefoot toad)
Lineage: Eukaryota; Metazoa; Chordata; Amphibia; Anura; Pelobatidae
Source: the annotation of a GenBank genome assembly